This is a long non-coding RNA of Xenopus tropicalis (tropical clawed frog), 174 nucleotides long. RefSeq lists it as uncharacterized. The record is from RefSeq and is a predicted model, not a curated record. NCBI's taxonomy places the organism in Eukaryota, Metazoa, Chordata, Amphibia, Anura, Pipidae. The transcript is spliced from 3 exons.
AGGAGACUCCAGCCUACCCUGAUGACAACAUCUGUCAGGAGGAAGACCUGAUAGUGCAGGAGAGCACAGACAUCAGCCCCUGCCACUAUCGGGAAUCUGUGGAUGAGAGUGGAGUCACUCAGCUUAACAUCAGCGAGGAGACUCCAGCAUACCCUGGUGACACCAUCUGUCAGG